CGUUGCAACAUCAAAGGGAAACAACUGCGUUUCCCUUUUUUCCUCCGUAACCACUCCGACACAAUCGGAGAGAGCGCGCGGAGAGGCGGCGUGGAGUUAGGUCUAGCGGGGAGGCGACGGCGGCGGCUGAGGCGGUUCCCACCGGCAGCGGCGGCGUUCGAGGCGGUGCCGGAGAAGCUAGAAGCUGUCGCAGCGGCUUCUCCAAUCGUCGCAUUCCCCUUUACGGCUCUACCCCCACCACACUCUCACCCCGCGGCUGCUUGUUGCUGCGGUUCCGACCAGCGGCGGCGGCGGCGGCGGCUGUCUCUAUCCUCGGCGGCGGCUUCUAGCUCCAUUCCCGGCGUCGAGGAUGCCUGA
Molecule: long non-coding RNA, 357 nt
Filed under: Oryza sativa Indica Group (long-grained rice)
Lineage: Eukaryota; Viridiplantae; Streptophyta; Magnoliopsida; Poales; Poaceae
Description: lncRNA OsMH63_07G010880
Source: RNAcentral